ACCGCUUGGCGCGCGCACGUCCCGGAGGGCGUCCAGGGGGCGCCGCUUCCCGUUCAGCUCCGCUGAGGGGCUGGUCCAGCCCGCGCGGCUCGGAGCGGAAAGAGUCGGGCGGAGCAGGCGGCUGCUUGACAGCUGAGAGCCGAGCGGGCGGCGCGGGCAGGUCCACGGGAAGCCUACACGCCCAAGGUCAUGCCCUGACCACAGCUGCCCUUCAGGAGGCUGGCACGGAGCCACCUGGGGCCAUUGGGCUGUUUGUCAAGGGUGGGGCAGCAGCAACUUGCCACUCUUCCUCCAUGAGCCCAGCCAGAGCCUCCACUGGGCACUUAGCACAAGAAAAACCCUGCAGGAGCCGGAUCCAGAGCGCUGGGAUUCAGCAGGAGUGCCAGGAGAAUUCAACACAGGUGUGCUGCCUCCUCUCCUGCCAGGUGUGUGGCUGCACAGGAGUCUUGCUGAUGGUAAGAAUCGGAGUUCCUGGAUUCAGGGGGUACUGGGAGCAGCCGCCUGUGAGAAGGCUGGGCCAAACAAACAAAUGUUCUGAAUGAGGAUAAGAAAACAGCAUUUCUCCUGAGGGUCUCUGAUUUUCUGUAGCCUGCCCCUGGCUUGAAAACUGUCAGCUUAGCAAAGUGGACUCUCAAACCACCUGGAUCUCAUGUUUUUUGCUUGUCAGAUUCAUUGAUUGCUGCAGAAUAGGCUCAACAUCCCACAGGGUCUGCUUCUCUGACUGGGACAAAAGCGCUCAUAAGAAACUGAUGGGAGCGGCUUCACCAGGGGUGGCAGACAAUUCUGGCCAGGAGUGGGUGUCCGCAGUGGGCAAGAAGUGUGGGCUCCAUGCCAGGAGCAGUGGCGACAGCUUCUAGAAAUUGUCUAGUAGCCUGACAUCCUAAAGAAUGUCCUGGAGAGCUGGAAAAGCGGUUCUUCCAGACACAUGCAGGGAGCAGCGAAAUGAGAUGCAGUAGAAGGUUGAAUCCAGCUGGGAGCACAGUGCAAUUUAGUUAAGAGUGACUUCUGUGGCAUCUGCUGGUCGUGGGUGAGGGCUGGGGGAAGAUAAUACUAAUUUGGCCAUUAUUACACAUGUCUUUCUUGAAUCUUCAAUCAGAUUGUCAACUCCUUGAGGGUAGUAAUGGAAUAUUUUAUGUCUUUUGCAUUCUUCACAAGGUCGGGUACUCAGCCAUUGUUUAUUGGUUGACUAUUUGAUGCAUUCCGACACAAUACACUUGACCGGGCCAGGUCCUGGGAUCUUCAUUCAUAGGAGCAGUGUUGUCACCAGUAUCUGUUGGGCACCUGCUGAGAAGGAGCAAUGGCGGGUACUUUUGCCACCCGAGUUGGCCUGAGGUUGCUGAGUGUAUGAGUUUCCUAGGGCUGCCUUAACAAAGUGCCACCAACUGGGUGAUUAACAGAAAUGUCAGGUCUCCCAGUUCUAGAGGCGAGAGGUCUGCAACCAAGGUAUCAGCAGGGCCUGACCCCUCUGUGGUGUAUAGGAGGCCCCUCCUUGCCUCGCCCUGGCUUCUGACGAUUUGCCGGCCGACUGUGGUCUUCCUUGGCUUGCAGCUGCGUCACUCCAAUCCCUGCCUUUAUCAUCACAUGGCAUUCUCCCUGUGUGUGUGUGUUUCCAAAUUUUCCCAUUUUUAUAAGGACACCAGCCAUAUUAGGAACCGCCCUACUCCAGUAUGACCUCAUCUUAACUCAUUACAUCUUCAGCAACCCCGUUUCCAAAGAAGGUCACAUUCUGAGGUACUAGGGGUUAGGACUUCAAUGUGGAGAUCACAGUUCAAGCUGCCACACUAAGUGAGCUCAUUCACAGUGACAAGACUAGGGACAUACAAAGGGCCGGGGUGAAUAUGAAUGGUGUUCCAUGGUGCUGCCUGAAAGUGACUGGCAGCAGUGUCAGCAGGGGAGCAUGUCCUCUGUUCUCAGCAUUCACUAGAGAGGUGUGCUGAGCUGGGGCCCAGCUGGACACAUUGGAUGCUGUGCUCCAGAGGAGGAACUGCACUCACCUAUCGCUCUCCUUUGUAUGGGACAAGUGGGACAGAGCCUUGAUGGGGGGAACACACCACUGGGGUUCCAGGCAGCCUUAACUAUCGAGGAAUGGCAGGAAAUUCUGUCUGCCCAGCACCUGGUGACCCUGGAGCUCCUCAGUUUCCCGGGAAGUUGAGUUUUGGAGCAGUCUCUUCCAGAGAGGCUGGGAGUGCAUCACUUUCCCCCUGGAGGUGGCGGAGGCUGCUGGGCCCAACUAGCUCAUUGCCAGGCAAUCCAGAGAGAGUUCCAGACACCAGAUACUGAACAACCUACUUGUCUCCACACCUAGUAAAGCUUGGAUCCAAUGCUGCCAACUUUUCUGCCUCUCCAGUUUUGGAGCCCUUAAUGUGAAGGUGCAACCCAGAAGCCUGCAGGCUGUUCGUAGCCUGUAGAUGUGUUUUCUUCCCAGUAGCUGGUGUAUACAGUGUUUUUGUAUUAUUUUUCAAAUAAGCAAUACAUUUGUGUGGUUCAAAAAUUAAAGCGCUAUAGAAAGGU
This 2511-nucleotide long non-coding RNA is filed under the name Homo sapiens (human). RNAcentral describes it as "non-protein coding lnc-CRACR2A-5:2". The record is from RNAcentral. Lineage: Eukaryota; Metazoa; Chordata; Mammalia; Primates; Hominidae.